Molecule: transfer RNA, 72 nt
Filed under: Camelus bactrianus (Bactrian camel)
Lineage: Eukaryota; Metazoa; Chordata; Mammalia; Artiodactyla; Camelidae
Also listed under: 2 other names
Rfam family: tRNA
About the family: Transfer RNA (tRNA) molecules are approximately 80 nucleotides in length. Their secondary structure includes four short double-helical elements and three loops (D, anti-codon, and T loops). Further hydrogen bonds mediate the characteristic L-shaped molecular structure. tRNAs have two regions of fundamental functional importance: the anti-codon, which is responsible for specific mRNA codon recognition, and the 3' end, to which the tRNAs corresponding amino acid is attached (by aminoacyl-tRNA synthetases). tRNAs cope with the degeneracy of the genetic code in two manners: having more than one tRNA (with a specific anti-codon) for a particular amino acid; and 'wobble' base-pairing, i.e. permitting non-standard base-pairing at the 3rd anti-codon position.
Source: Rfam by way of RNAcentral
GAGGCUAUAGUUCAGUGGUAGAGUGUGUGUGUAGCAUGCACAAGGUCCUGGGUUCAAUCCUCAGGACCUUUG